This 1152-nucleotide long non-coding RNA is filed under the name Monodelphis domestica (gray short-tailed opossum). Its description in RNAcentral is "lncRNA (ENSMODG00000048383.1)". Lineage: Eukaryota; Metazoa; Chordata; Mammalia; Didelphimorphia; Didelphidae. The record is from RNAcentral.
UCGGUCCUUUCACCCUGCUGAAUUUUUUAUACCGCAGUUAAGACGCAGAGAAGGCGCUGACCUGUAUUGGUGGAGAAAGUUUCCUCAAAUAAAAGAUUCCCGUGCUAAUGACACCAGGGGUGCAGGUCUUAGCCCUAUGCUGUUUUCUUCCUCGUAGGAGAGGGACCAGAGAACGCUGGGCAUGCGCAGCUUUGAUUGCCUGCCACCGAGAUGAGCAUUCCCCUCGUCAACCAUGUUCUUGAGAUUGGACUUGGCCUGCCCCUGUAAGAGGCGAGUGGGAUCCCCCUGAUUCAUUAGCCCUUUGAACCUCAAGCCCUGUUCUGAAUGCAUCGAAUGCUUUCCACUCCUAAUCCCUAGUGGGAGGAGAGGCAGAAGAGAUGGCUCUGCGGACCACCCAGAGUGUGAACUUUUCAGCGCGGGCCGGUGGCCUUAUUUGUAUUGUGCCAGAUAGCUCACAAUGAGGGAGGUGUACUUUUGUGUACUGUGAACAGCUGGGGAGAGUUUUAGGAAGUCAAAAACCGAAUACGGUGGGCUGAGAGAUUCCUUCAGCCUAUCUCCGCCGGCUUCUUUGAGGAAGAAAAAUGUCCUUGUUAAGAACACAUUAGUACUGCUAAUCUCUCAUCUGCUAUCACCUUCAGGCCCAGAUACACUGUUACUAUCCAUUGCUGCUCCUGAGAUAUGAGGUUUCACAGUACUGGAUCUUUUGCCUCAAGGUGUGUCCCAUCCGCACAUCAAGCACAUUCAAGAUGACUUCGAAGAUAUAAGAAUGAAAAUAUGGGAGUUUUUUUGUUAAUAAUUUUGAUAGUGUGUCAAAUCAUUCUCUGAUAAUAAACAUCAAAUUAGGCAUAAAACAGGAAGAUGUAUCAUCACUAUGUAUUUUUGCCAUUAUAACAGAAGCUGUCCAGCAUAGCAUCUUAGAAGAGGAUCCUCUGCAGAUGCUGUUGUUAUGCAGUAACAAGAUGAAGAACCUCACUGCCUCUGAAGAACAAAAAUGGAAUUGCCUAUUUUUAAUGGACAGAAGCGUCAUUGGUAUGAAAAAGGUGCGAUACACAUCCGAUGAGGAACUUGGAAGAAGAGGAAUAAGGUAUGUUGGAGCCAUCUCUAACCUGACUCAGAAGAGCUGAUUAUUAAACUUUCAGUUCGAGCAUAAAC